CCCCGAUUCGUGCAUCUGCCCCAUGUCUCCCCGAUUCGUGCAUCUGCCCCAUGUCUCCCCGAUUCGUGCAUCUGCCCCAUGUCUCCCCGAUUCGUCCCAGUCAGCAGGGAGCCUGUGCACUGCUUCCAUCAGCUGUCUGAAGGGCUUUUCCUUUUGUAUCAUGGUUAUUGAGCCAUACAUUUUGCUAAAGCCAGGAAGUACAGAGGUGGCCUUCUAAAUUUUAAGACCUUACUUUAUUAUCUGAACUUACACAGAUAUAAAUACUGGUUAAAUCUGGUACUGUAUGUGCACACAAACAUUUUAUAUCCUGGUGUUAUAGCACACUAGAAGCAGAACAUUUUUUUCAAAUUAAUGACGUAAUGUCUUUAUCCAGAGGCUGACAUAACUUCUGAAAGCAUGUUUUAGAGAAUAUAGGCUGAGCAGCAUAAGAGCUCUCUCUCAAGCACUGCGGAGAGAUCAUACAACAUGGGAGCAAUACGGUUUGACCUUCAGAUUCUCUUGUGUUCUCAUAUUCCAGCUACAGUCAUUCCAAAAAACCUUAGGAUUUACUUUUGAGUUGAAAAGUGGUUUCAGCACAAUCUAAAGACAGAACACAUUAACAUGAUGUGGAAUAACACUAUGUUGUCAUGCAUCAUGCAAUAUCUGAUAGCGUUCUUGUUUAGCAGGAAGCUGAAAUGGAUCAGAGCACUGUUUACUGACUGUGCUAAAAACAUGUGUCUUCUUGCUGAGCAUCAGGACCAAGAGAGUGGAGAAGAACAUGAGAAGAAUAAAGAGACAAAAGAGACAAAAGCCUGGAAGGGAUGGGAGGCCCUGGGGAAAAGGACAGGCUCAGGCUGUUGUCCAGAAUUUGACUCUGAAUCUGCUCGAAGAUUACAGCUCAUCAGAGAGGUACUAGAAGAAACAUCUUUUCUCUGA
This 915-nucleotide long non-coding RNA is filed under the name Numida meleagris (helmeted guineafowl). RNAcentral describes it as "lncRNA (ENSNMEG00000004506.1)". The record is from RNAcentral. Lineage: Eukaryota; Metazoa; Chordata; Aves; Galliformes; Numididae.